UACAGAGGGUGCAAGCGUUAAUCGGAUUUACUGGGCGUAAAGCGCGCGUAGGCGGCUAAUUAAGUCAAAUGUGAAAUCCCCGAGCUUAACUUGGGAAUUGCAUUCGAUACUGGUUAGCUAGAGUGUGGGAGAGGAUGGUAGAAUUCCGAGGUGUAGCGGUGUAAAUGCGUAGAGAUCUGGAGGAUACCGGAUGGCGAAGGCGGCAAGUCCCUG
Molecule: ribosomal RNA, 213 nt
Filed under: uncultured bacterium
Lineage: Bacteria
Description: partial 16S ribosomal RNA
Rfam family: Bacterial small subunit ribosomal RNA
Source: RNAcentral